Molecule: small RNA, 837 nt
Filed under: Oryza sativa Japonica Group (Japanese rice)
Lineage: Eukaryota; Viridiplantae; Streptophyta; Magnoliopsida; Poales; Poaceae
Description: sRNA OsPUP13
Source: RNAcentral
UCUGCGUUAGGAAGGCUAAUGAAGACGUGAAGUAGAAGCUGUAGCAGACACCCUCUAUCAAUAUGGCGUACGCUCAAGAAAUUCAGCUCCAAAUCAGAGGUGCCUCCACUGCUCCUCACCAUCUUUAGUCUCCUCUCGUGUAACCCUUCCUUUCUGGUGCUUAAUCUCGUGACAAUGGUUUAAAACUUUUAAACGGCUCUCGGUUUUGCAAAUUGCCCUCGUUUUCUCGAUGUUUAGUUGGUGUGGUUUUCUGCUUCCGCUCUAAUGAAGUUUGGAGUUUUGCGAGUGAAAUGGACGAGAAAGACGGUAUGUGCGUCUGAAAUGUCCAGCUUAGGAGCUGUUUCCAAGGAUCGAGUUCUGGCGCAUGGUAACCUAGAUGGUAUGUGCGUCUGAAAUGUCCAGCCUAGUUUGUUCUUGCUCUGGCUCGCUGGCAGCCGUCCUGAGCCAGCAAGACAGAGCUGUUGGGAUCAUCGCUCUUGUUCUUCUUCUUGUUGGGAUUUAUUUUAGGAGUUUCUUCAAACUUGGGCGAGGUAACCGCGUACAAGGAGUGCUCAAUAGAAAUAGAAAAUAGUUUUUCAGUUUCCAAAUAGAGAAAUACUAGUAGCAACCAUUAGAGGAAUAAAUAAAAAAUAUAUAGAGAAAGUGGGAAACAUCACUUCUCCAUGCAUGGGCCCUCUUAUUAUUUUUUUUUUGAGGGCACUCUUAGUCUUAUCUUCAUCAUAUAGUAGUGUGACUAGUGUCAUUGAAUUCAACACAAGUAAGACCAGAGUAGACGUAAGCAGGCUUAGCAACAACACAUAAGGCAUGGUCCACAGGCCCCAUCGCGUUGUAUUUUGC